RNAcentral lists this long non-coding RNA (2401 nucleotides) under Homo sapiens (human). RNAcentral's name for it is "HSALNT0352495". Lineage: Eukaryota; Metazoa; Chordata; Mammalia; Primates; Hominidae. The record is from RNAcentral.
GGGUCAGAUCCUUCACAAAUCAUUAAACACUAUCUCCUUAUUGCUGUCCUUGUGACGGUGAGUUCUUUUCAUGAUUUUAGAACUGUAAGAUUAAAUGGAUACUGGCCUCCUGGGUUUUGGACUUGCAUUGGGCCUGUGGUCCCAUUUGUGUUAUUUUCCUGGGAAAUUUCUGCCCUUUGGAUUGAAAAAGCUUACCCAAUGCCUGUACCAUUAUUGUACCUUGAAAGAAAGAACAUCCUUUUAAAUUCAGGGACUCAUAGGCAAAAGGUACUGUAGACUUGUCUCAGAUGAGAUGUUGAAUUUUUUACAUUUGAGUUAUUGUUGGAAUGAGUUAAGACUUUUGGAAAAUUUUGAAAAGACAUGAAUAUAUUUUGCUCUGUGAGAAGGACAAGAGACUGCAGGGUAUCAGGUCAGAAUAAUAUGAUUUGGCUGUGUUUCUUUACCAAAACUCAUGUGAAUUGUAAUCCUUAAUGUUGGAGGUGGGACCUGGCUGGAGGUGAUUUAAUCAUGGAUGGGAGGGGGACCGGGGAUGGAAGGAAAGGGGUGGGUAGGGUGAGGAGUAGGUUGUUAGUAGGGUGGUGGGUACUAGGAGGGGGGAGUAACCUGCUUCAGAAGCAGAGGCUCAUGGAAAGUCUCUACUAGGGCAGGGCACCUGUGGCUUUGCAGGGUGUAGCCCCCAUGGCUGCUGUCAUGGGCUGGGCUCGUGUGGAGUGCCUGUAGCUUUUCUGCUCUGAGAGUGCAAGCUGUUGGUGGGUCUAUGAAUCUGCAGUCUGGAGGAUGGUGGCCUCCUGUAUGUGGGCUCCAAGCCUACAUUUUCCUUCUGCACUGCCCUGGCAGAGGCUCAUGGAAAACCUCUACUAGGGCAGUGCACCUGUGGCUUUGCAGGCUUUAGCCCCAUGGCUGCUCUCAUGGGCUGGGCUGGUGUUGAGUGCCUGUAGCUUUUCCAUACUGAGGGUGUGAGCUGUUGGUGGGCCUAUGAAUCCGGGAUCUGGAGGAUGGUGGCCUCCUUUUUGGGGGCUCCAAGCCCAUAUUUUCCUUCUGCACUGCCAUAGUGGAAGUUUCUCAAGAGGCUUGGCCUCUGCAGGAGGCUUCUGCCUGGAAACAGUGGGCGGUGGUGUGGGUGCAGGAUCUUCUUGAUGCUGAUCUCCUGAUAGUGAGACCUCAUGUGAUCUGGUUGUCUAACAGGGUGUGGUACCUCUUUCCUCUCUCUGUCUUGCUCCUACCCCUGCCAUAUGAAACAUCUCAUUGCCACUUGGCCUUCUGGUAUGAUUAGGAAGGGCCUGGUCAGUGUGGGCCUGGUCAGUGAACUAGUCAGUUGGGACUUGGUCAGUGAGGCCUAUUUACUGGGGGAAUGGUCAGCCAGGGUCUGCUUAGAGAGGGUCUCAUUAGAGGGAUCGAGUAGUGCAGGUCUUGGUGAGUGGGGACCUAGUGGCAGACAAAUGUUUGGUGUCUGGUCAGUGCAAACCUGGGCUGCAGGGCUUGGUGAGUGGAGACCUGGUCAGCUGUGGCUUAGUGGUAGCCUUGUCAGAAUGGGCUGGGUCACUGGUGACCCGGUCAAGGGGUGCUAUUCAGUGGAGGCCUGGUCACAUGGCACCUAGUCAGCAGGGCAUGUCCUCAUCAGUGAGACCCUUGUCAGUGGGACCCUGGUCAUGGCAGCCUGGUCAGGUCAGUGGAACCUAAUCAGUGGGGGCCUGGUCAGAGAGGACUUGAUCAGUGGUGGCUUUUGUAGCACUGGUCUAUGGGGUGACCUGGUCAACGGGGGUCUGAGCGGUACAUGCCUGUUCAGUGGUGCCUAGUCACUAGGUUCCUGGUCGGGGCAUCUGGUCACCUCAGGCCUGGUUAGUAGGGACCUGGUCACUGGCAGCCUGUUCCCUGGAGACCUGGUCAGUGGGGCUUCAUCUGUGGGGCCAGGCAAUGGGGUCAUGAUUGGUGGAAUGUGGUCAGGGAGGUCUUGUCAGUGAGGCCCUGGUCAGUGAGGCCUUGUCAGUGAGGUCCUUGUCAGUGGGGUCCUGGACACUGUGGGCCUGGCAGCGGGAAUCUAGUUAGUGGGGCCUGGUGAUGGGGGCCUAAUCAGUGAGAGUGUGGUCAGGGAGGACCUGAUGUGCGGGAUCUGGUCAGCAGGGACCUGGUCAGUGGGGCUGCUGAGCACUGCUGGGAGGUGUCAGGGGAAAUGCAUGUUAUCAGGGGCCCUAUGGACAGCUGGGAUGGCCCAGUGGUGUCCAAUGGCCCAGUCAAAAGUGGACAAAGCAGGUGUUUGGAUGGACCUGGGAGAUCUUGCUCAGAGAUUCUGAAAGAACAAAGGUAAAGGAAGGGCCAGAGUGGCUAGAGAGAUGGUAACAGUCUAUGGGCUGCACAGGAUGGAGGAAGCCAGGGAACAGGCAGGGUGGGCAGUAGGGGUGCA